Pygocentrus nattereri (red-bellied piranha) is the source of this 277-nucleotide long non-coding RNA. RefSeq lists it as uncharacterized. NCBI's taxonomy places the organism in Eukaryota, Metazoa, Chordata, Actinopteri, Characiformes, Serrasalmidae. The transcript has 3 exons. The record is from RefSeq and is a predicted model, not a curated record.
AUCAGAGAAACAGAUGGACUACAGUCUGUAACUGUAGAACUACAGAGUGCAGCUAUACAGUAAGUGGAGCAGAACGGACGAUAAAGAUAGAUACAAGAUUUGCUUCCAGCACCAACACUUCCCCCCCAUAACAGAAGAGAAAUCUACUGAAGCUUCGUCUGCAGUCCCCACAAUUCACAGUCAGACCACACUACCCUCUACAAGCUGUGAGUGUCUGGCUCAGACCUUCCUUCUGCUGACAUAGUAACACCAAAGCAGCUGUGGUCAUAGUGUUCCU